GUGGGGAAUAUUGCACAAUGGGGGAAACCCUGAUGCAGCGACGCCGCGUGAGCGAAGAAGUAUUUCGGUAUGUAAAGCUCUAUCAGCAGGGAAGAAGAAUGACGGUACCUGACUAAGAAGCACCGGCUAAAUACGUGCCAGCAGCCGCGGUAAUACGUAUGGUGCAAGCGUUAUCCGGAUUUACUGGGUGUAAAGGGAGCGCAGGCGGUGCGGCAAGUCUGAUGUGAAAGCCCGGGGCUCAACCCCGGUACUGCAUUGGAAACUGUCGUACUAGAGUGUCGGAGGGGUAAGUGGAAUUCCUAGUGUAGCGGUGAAAUGCGUAGAUAUUAGGAGGAACACCAGUGGCGAAGGCGGCCUACUGGGCACCAACUGACGCUGAGGCUCGAAAGUGUGGGUAGCAAACAGGAUUAGAAACCCCUGUAGUCC
RNAcentral lists this ribosomal RNA (426 nucleotides) under uncultured bacterium. Its description in RNAcentral is "partial 16S ribosomal RNA". It matches the Rfam family "Bacterial small subunit ribosomal RNA", at positions 354 to 796 of the family's 1533-position model. The record is from RNAcentral.